AUCGCUUCUCGGCCUUUUGGCUAAGAUCAAGGGUAGUAUCUGUUCUUAUCAGUUUAAAAUGCAUGGGAAAGAUAUAUAAGGAUAUGAGGAAAUGCUU
RNAcentral lists this small nuclear RNA (97 nucleotides) under Capra hircus (goat). RNAcentral's name for it is "U2 spliceosomal RNA (ENSCHIG00000001670.1)". It matches the Rfam family "U2 spliceosomal RNA". Rfam says of the family: U2 is a small nuclear RNA (snRNA) component of the spliceosome (involved in pre-mRNA splicing). Complementary binding between U2 snRNA (in an area lying towards the 5' end but 3' to hairpin I) and the branchpoint sequence (BPS) of the intron results the bulging out of an unpaired adenosine, on the BPS, which initiates a nucleophilic attack at the intronic 5' splice site, thus starting the first of two transesterification reactions that mediate splicing. The record is from RNAcentral. Lineage: Eukaryota; Metazoa; Chordata; Mammalia; Artiodactyla; Bovidae.